UUGGAGGGCAAGUCUGGUGCCAGCAGCCGCGGUAGUUCCAGCUCCAAUAGCGUAUAUUAAAGUUGUUGCAGUUAAAAGGCUCGUAGUUGAAUUUCGGGAUUGGCGCAUCGGUCGUGCCUUACGGGGUAUGAACUGGUGCAGUCAAUUUCUCACCUUCUGGAGAACCGCGAUGUCCUUAAUUGGGUGCCGCGGGGAACCAGGACCUUUACUUUGAAAAAAUUAGAGUGUUUAAAGCAGGCAUUUUUGCUUGAAUACAUUAGCAUGGAAUAAUAAAAUAGGACGGCAUGGUUCUAUUUUGUUGGUUUCUAGGACCACCGUAAUGAUUAAUAGGGAUAGUUUGGGGCAUUAGUAUUCAAUUGUCAGAGGUGAAAUUCUUGGAUUUAUUGAAGACUAACUACUGCGAAAGCAUUUGCCAAGGAUGUUUUCAUUAAUCAAGAACGAAAGUUAGGGGAUCGAAGACGAUCAGAUACCGUCGUAGUCUUAACCAUAAACUAUGCCGACUAGGAAUCAGACGAUGUUAAUAUUUUAAUGACUCGUUUGGCACCUUACGGGAAACCAAAGUGUUUGGGUUC
This 572-nucleotide ribosomal RNA is filed under the name uncultured Glomeromycotina. Its description in RNAcentral is "SSU rRNA". It matches the Rfam family "Eukaryotic small subunit ribosomal RNA", at positions 548 to 1114 of the family's 1831-position model. The record is from RNAcentral. Lineage: Eukaryota; Fungi; Glomeromycota.